UACGUAGGGUGCGAGCGUUAAUCGGAAUUACUGGGCGUAAAGCGUGCGCAGGCGGUUCGCUGUGUCUGCUGGGAAAGCCCCGGGCUCAACCUGGGAAUGGCAGUGGAAACUGGCGAGCUGGAGUGUGGCAGAGGGGGGUGGAAUUCCACGUGUAGCAGUGAAAUGCGUAGAGAUGUGGAGGAACACCGAUGGCGAAGGCAGCCCCCUGGGCUGACACUGACGCUCAGGCACGAAAGCGUGGGGAGCAAACAGG
RNAcentral lists this ribosomal RNA (253 nucleotides) under uncultured bacterium. RNAcentral describes it as "partial 16S ribosomal RNA". It matches the Rfam family "Bacterial small subunit ribosomal RNA", at positions 524 to 776 of the family's 1533-position model. The record is from RNAcentral.